RNAcentral lists this ribosomal RNA (1956 nucleotides) under gut metagenome. RNAcentral's name for it is "bacterial LSU rRNA". It matches the Rfam family "Bacterial large subunit ribosomal RNA", at positions 3 to 1984 of the family's 2925-position model. The record is from RNAcentral.
UUAAGUUAAUAAGGGCGCACGGUGGAUGCCUUGGCACUAGAAGCCGAUGAAGGACGUGACUAACGACGAAAUGCUUUGGGGAGCUGUAAGUGAGCAAUGAUCCAGAGAUGUCCGAAUGGGGGAACCCGGCAGGUAAUGCCUGUCACUCAUUACUGUUAAGGUAAUGUAGAGGAAGACGCAGUGAACUGAAACAUCUAAGUAGCUGUAGGAAGAGAAAGCAAAAGCGAUUGCCUUAGUAGCGGCGAGCGAAACGGCAAGAGGGCAAACCGAAGAGUUUACUCUUCGGGGUUGUAGGACUGCAACGUGGACUUAAAGAUUAUAGAAGAACUACCUGGGAAGGUAGGCCAAAGAGAGUAAUAGCCUCGUAUUCGAAAUAGUCUUUAUACCUAGCAGUAUCCUGAGUACGGCGAGACACGAGAAAUCUCGUCGGAAUCUGGGAGGACCAUCUCCCAACCCUAAAUACUCUCUAGUGACCGAUAGUGAACCAGUACCGUGAGGGAAAGGUGAAAAGCACCCCGGGAGGGGAGUGAAAUAGAACCUGAAACCGUGUGCCUACAACAAGUUCGAGCCCGUUAAUGGGUGAGAGCGUGCCUUUUGUAGAAUGAACCGGCGAGUUACGAUAUGAUGCGAGGUUAAGUUGAAGAGACGGAGCCGUAGGGAAACCGAGUCUUAAUAGGGCGCAUUAGUAUCAUGUCGUAGACCCGAAACCAUGUGACCUACCCAUGAGCAGGUUGAAGGUGAGGUAAAACUCACUGGAGGACCGAACCAGGGCACGUUGAAAAGUGCUUGGAUGACUUGUGGGUAGCGGAGAAAUUCCAAACGAACUUGGAGAUAGCUGGUUCUCUCCGAAAUAGCUUUAGGGCUAGCGUCGAUGUUAAGUCUCUUGGAGGUAGAGCACUGUUUGGGUGAGGGGUCCAUCCCGGAUUACCAAUCUCAGAUAAACUCCGAAUGCCAAUGAGAUAUAAUCGGCAGUCAGACUGCGAGUGCUAAGAUCCGUAGUCGAAAGGGAAACAGCCCAGACCACCAGCUAAGGUCCCAAAAUAUAUGUUAAGUGGAAAAGGAUGUGGGGUUGCACAGACAACUAGGAUGUUAGCUUAGAAGCAGCUAUUCAUUCAAAGAGUGCGUAAUAGCUCACUAGUCGAGUGACCCUGCGCCGAAAAUGUACCGGGGCUAAAACAUAUUACCGAAGCUGUGGAUACCUUUAUAGGUAUGGUAGGAGAGCGUUCUAUGUGCGAAGAAGGUGUACCGUGAGGAGUGCUGGAGCGCAUAGAAGUGAGAAUGCCGGUAUGAGUAGCGAAAGACAGGUGAGAAUCCUGUCCACCGUAAGACUAAGGUUUCCAGGGGAAGGCUCGUCCGCCCUGGGUUAGUCGGGACCUAAGGAGAGACCGAAAGGUGUAUCCGAUGGACAACAGGUUGAUAUUCCUGUACUAGAGUAUAUAGUGAUGGAGGGACGCAGUAGGCUAACUAAACCAGACGAUUGGAAGUGUCUGGCCAAGCAGUGAGGUGUGAUAUGAGUCAAAUGCUUAUAUCUUUAACAUUGAGCUGUGAUGGGGAGCGAAGUUUAGUAGCGAAGUUAGUGAUGUCACACUGCCGAGAAAAGCUUCUAGCGUUAAUUAUACUCUACCCGUACCGCAAACCGACACAGGUAGUCGAGGCGAGUAGCCUCAGGUGAGCGAGAGAACUCUCGUUAAGGAACUCGGCAAAAUGGCCCCGUAACUUCGGGAGAAGGGGCGCUGACUGAUGGUCAGCCGCAGUGAAUAGGCCCAAGCAACUGUUUAUCAAAAACACAGCUCUCUGCUAAAUCGUAAGAUGAUGUAUAGGGGGUGACGCCUGCCCGGUGCUGGAAGGUUAAGAGGAGUGCUUAGCGUAAGCGAAGGUAUGAAUUGAAGCCCCAGUAAACGGCGGCCGUAACUAUAACGGUCCUAAGGUAGCGAAAUUCCUUGUCGGGUAAGUUCC